UCCCGUUCCAGCGUUUGAGUC
Molecule: unclassified non-coding RNA, 21 nt
Filed under: Mus musculus (house mouse)
Lineage: Eukaryota; Metazoa; Chordata; Mammalia; Rodentia; Muridae
Description: oocyte_clustered_small_RNA5013
Source: RNAcentral